AUUGAACGCUGGCGGAAUGCUUUACACAUGCAAGUCGAGCGGCAGCACGGGGGCAACCCUGGUGGCGAGCGGCGAACGGGUGAGUAACACAUCGGAACAUGCCCAGUCGUGGGGGAUAACACUUCGAAAGAAGUGCUAAUACCGCAUACGUCCUGUGGGAGAAAGCGGGGGAUCGCAAGACCUCGCGCGAUUGGAGUGGCCGAUGUCAGAUUAGCUAGUUGGUGGGGUAAAGGCCUACCAAGGCGACGAUCGGUAGCUGGUCUGAGAGGGUGAUCAGCCACACUGGGGCUGAGACACGGCCCAGGCUCCUACGGGAGGCCGCAGUGGGGAAUUGUGGACACUGUGGGCAACCUUGAUCCAGCCAUUCCACGUGAGUGAAGCAGGCCUGCGGGUUGUAAAACUCUUUCGGCAUGAACGAAACGUUGCGCCCUAACAGAGCUUGCUAGUGACGGUACCUGAAGAAGAAGCACCGGCUAACUACGUG
Molecule: ribosomal RNA, 484 nt
Filed under: uncultured bacterium
Lineage: Bacteria
Description: partial 16S ribosomal RNA
Rfam family: Bacterial small subunit ribosomal RNA
Source: RNAcentral